UACGGGGGGGGCAAGCGUUGUUCGGAUUUACUGGGCGUAAAGGGCGCGUAGGCGGCCACUGCAAGUCGGUUGUGAAAUCUCCGGGCUUAACCCGGAAAGGUCAAUCGAUACUGCAGGGCUAGAGUGCAGAAGGGGCAACUGGAAUUCUCGGUGUAGCGGUGAAAUGCGUAGAUAUCGAGAGGAACACCUGCGGCGAAGGCGGGUUGCUGGGCUGACACUGACGCUGAAGCGCGAAAGCUAGGGGAGCGAACGGG
This 254-nucleotide ribosomal RNA is filed under the name uncultured bacterium. RNAcentral describes it as "partial 16S ribosomal RNA". It matches the Rfam family "Bacterial small subunit ribosomal RNA", at positions 524 to 776 of the family's 1533-position model. The record is from RNAcentral.